RNAcentral lists this ribosomal RNA (465 nucleotides) under uncultured bacterium. RNAcentral describes it as "partial 16S ribosomal RNA". It matches the Rfam family "Bacterial small subunit ribosomal RNA", at positions 28 to 507 of the family's 1533-position model. The record is from RNAcentral.
GACGAACGCUGGCGGCGUGCUUAACACAUGCAAGUCGAACGGAAAGGCCCCUUUGGGGGUACUCGAGUGGCGAACGGGUGAGUAACACGUGAGUAACCUGCCCUUGACUUCGGGAUAACUUCAGGAAACUGGGGCUAAUUCCGGAUAGGAAUCCUUGCUGCAUGGUGGGGGUUGGAAAGCUUCGGCGGUUUUGGAUGGACUUGCGGCUUAUCAGCUUGUUGGUGGGGUAGUGGCUUACCAAGGCUUUGACGGGUAGCCGGCCUGAGAGGGCGACCGGCCACAUUGGGACUGAGAUACGGCCCAGACUCCUACGGGAGGCAGCAGUGGGGAAUAUUGCACAAUGGGCGGAAGCCUGAUGCAGCAACGCCGCGUGCGGGAUGACGGCCUUCGGGUUGUAAACCGCUUUCAGCAGGGGCGAAGCUUGUGGUGACGGUACCUGCAGAAGAAGCACCGGCUAACUACGUG